This 387-nucleotide ribosomal RNA is filed under the name uncultured bacterium. Its description in RNAcentral is "bacterial SSU rRNA". It matches the Rfam family "Bacterial small subunit ribosomal RNA", at positions 27 to 412 of the family's 1533-position model. The record is from RNAcentral.
GGACGAACGCUGGCGGCGUGCUUAACACAUGCAAGUCGAGCGGUAAGGCCCUUUCGGGGGUACGACGAGCGGCGAACGGGUGAGUAACACGUGGGUGACCUGCCCUCAGCUCUGGGAUAAGCCUGGGGAAACUGGGUCUAAUACCGGAUAUGACUCCAUGACGCAUGUUGUGGGGUGGAAAGCCUUGUGCGGCUGAGGAUGGGCCCGCGGCCUAUCAGCUUGUUGGUGGGGUGANGGGCCUACCAAGGCGACGACGGGUAGCCGGCCUGAGAGGGCGACCGGCCACACUGGGACUGAGACACGGCCCAGACUCCGUACGGGAGGCAGCAGUGGGGAAUCUUGCGCAAUGGGCGAAAGCCUGACGCAGCGACGCCGCGUGAGGAUGAC